GACUAGCCGGUACUCGCCGAAUGCAUCUAGAUUNUUAGUUUGAUCAUGGCUCAGGACGAACGCUGGCGGCGUGCCUAAUACAUGCAAGUCGAGCGAACAGAGGAGGAGCUUGCUCCUUUGACGUUAGCGGCGGACGGGUGAGUAACACGUGGGCAACCUACCUUAUAGUUUGGGAUAACUCCGGGAAACCGGGGCUAAUACCGAAUAAUCUAUUUUACUUCAUGGUGAAAUACUGAAAGACGGUUUCGGCUGUCGCUAUAAGAUGGGCCCGCGGCGCAUUAGCUAGUUGGUGAGGUAACGGCUCACCAAGGCGACGAUGCGUAGCCGACCUGAGAGGGUGAUCGGCCACACUGGGACUGAGACACGGCCCAGACUCCUACGGGAGGCAGCAGUAGGGAAUCUUCCACAAUGGGCGAAAGCCUGAUGGAGCAACGCCGCGUGAGUGAAGAAGGUUUUCGGAUCGUAAAACUCUGUUGUAAGUGGAAGAACAAGUACAGUAGUAACUGGCUGUACCUUGCACGGUACCUUAUUAGAAAGCCACGGCUAACUACGUGCCAGCAGCCGCGGUAAUACGUAGGUGGCAAGCGUUGUCCGGAAUUAUUGGGCGUAAGCGCGCGCUCGGGCGGGUUCCUUUUCAGUUCUUGCAUGUGAGAAGCCCCACUCGGGGCUCNAACCCGUUGGAGCGGUCACUUGGAACACUUG
This 702-nucleotide ribosomal RNA is filed under the name uncultured bacterium. RNAcentral describes it as "partial 16S ribosomal RNA". It matches the Rfam family "Bacterial small subunit ribosomal RNA", at positions 1 to 672 of the family's 1533-position model. The record is from RNAcentral.